UACGUAGGGAGCCAGCGUUGUCCGGAUUUACUGGGCGUAAAGAGCGCGUAGGCGGUUUGGUAAGCGGAGGGUGAAAUCCCAGGGCUCAACUCUGGGGCUGCUCUCCGAACUGUCAGACUAGAGUACGGGAGAGGACAGUGGAAUUCCUGGUGUAGCGGUGGAAUGCGUAAAUAUCAGGAGGAACACCCGUGGCGAAGGCUGCUGUCUGGAACGUUACUGACGCUGAGGCGCGAAAGCUAGGGGAGCGAACGGGAUUAGAUACCCCGGUAGUCCUAGCCGUAAACGAUGGACACUAGGUGUUGGAGGCAUCGACCCCUUCAGUGCUGUUCUGCUAACGCGUUAAGUGUCCCGCCUGGGGAGUACGGCCGCAAGGUUG
This 376-nucleotide ribosomal RNA is filed under the name uncultured prokaryote. RNAcentral's name for it is "bacterial SSU rRNA". It matches the Rfam family "Bacterial small subunit ribosomal RNA", at positions 524 to 896 of the family's 1533-position model. The record is from RNAcentral.